This is a long non-coding RNA of Lingula anatina, 384 nucleotides long. Lineage: Eukaryota; Metazoa; Brachiopoda; Lingulata; Lingulida; Lingulidae. The record is from RefSeq and is a predicted model, not a curated record.
GGCCCUGGAGGAGAAAUACGAGGCUCUCAGAGACAGACUGCUGGUCUUUGCCCUGAAAUUACAGCAUCAGGAAGAGUGGAAAGAGUUCACCACAGAAGACAAGACCAGGCUGCUGGUCAAACACAGGCAGGAGGAGAAGAGACUGAGACAAGAGGGGAAAGUGGAUGACAUGGCUGCAUUCCUGGGACAGGCAGCUAGGGAGUUGAAACUGAGGGCUCUGCUGGGAGAGAGCCGAGAAGAGUUUGCCAGCAGACUGGAGACUCAGUUUGAAGAGUAUGAGAAAAGAGUGUUACAGGGCCUUCCAGAGCCUACUGAAGAACCUGAUGAAGAACCAGAGGCCGAAUCCAAAGUGUCCAAUCCUCUUGCUGAGUUACAGCAAAGGUU